This 1060-nucleotide long non-coding RNA is filed under the name Ananas comosus (pineapple). Its description in RNAcentral is "long non-coding RNA (ACOM_LNC028738)". The record is from RNAcentral. Lineage: Eukaryota; Viridiplantae; Streptophyta; Magnoliopsida; Poales; Bromeliaceae.
UAUAUAUAUAUAUAUAUAUAGAGAGAGAGAGAGAGAAUUAGGUUAGAGUGCUAUCAAUAGCACCAAGCUAUUUCUGCUAUUAUCCUUUUAGCUCUUGGAUUGAGAAAUGUACGGUUAUGAUGAUAUGCCCCCUCUAGGGUUGAGUGGGUGGUUGGUUGAAUAGUAUAAUCUAACGGAUAAAAAUAAUUAAAAGAUUAAAUCUAACGGUGGAAAACUCGAUAGCAUCAAACUCUUGAUGCCAUCAAUAGUAUCACAGUCGAGAGAGAGAGAGAGAGAGAGAGAGAGAGUAGAGCUAGAAUACUAUCGAUAGCAAAUGGGCUCCAUUGCCACCCAUUUGUUUUCGAUAAUGGAGCUUCUGAAUCGACGAUUGGCACCGUUGAACAUGAUCUAUACCACUUAAAGUGUUUAAAAAUCAAAUUUCAUACAUUUUCAAUAUUGUUCUCUUAUUUAUCGAGUGGACACAAAAAUGAACAGCUGAAACUGAAUAUUUUUUUACAAAUGAUAAUAGAAGUCUUGUAAUCAAGAUCAAGAGUAUAGAUCUUGUUUUAAAUAGUUUAAAGAAUUUUUUAACAAAAAUUCAAUUGAUUUGGAUAUCUUUACGCCGUUAAACGAGAAAACGCCUCAUAUCGAUCAUUAAAUUAUAAUUUUUGAAACAUUUUAAUCAUUAGGCAAAUGAUGUCGAAAAGAUUUAAAAUUUGAUUUCUAAACACUUCAAGUGGUAUAGAUCAUAUUCAAUGGUGCCGAUCGUCGAUUUGGAGGCUCCAUCAUCGAAACCAAAUGGGUAACAACGGAGCCCGUUUGUUAUCGAUAGUAUUAUAUAUAUAAAGAGAGAGAGUUGACCUAGAAUACUCUCAAAAGCACUAAUGGGAUGGUGCUUUUGAGUUUUUAGCCAUUGGAUUGAGAGAUGUAGGGUUGAGAUGAUGGUCGUAGAUGGUGGUAGGUGAUGGUAGGUGGAAUAAUAUUUGAUCCAAGGGGUAUUAGUAAUUAAGGAGUAAAUCGAAGGGCUAGAAACUUAGAAGCAUCAAAGGAUUGGUAUUUUUAAAAGUAUUCUAGCUCAAUU